AGCGAACGCUGGCGGCGUGCCUAACACAUGCAAGUCGAACGUGAAAGGGAGCAAUCCCAAGUAAAGUGGCGUACGGGUGAGUAACACGUAGGUAAUCUACCCCAGAAUCUGGAAUAACCGGCCGAAAGGCUGGCUAAUACUGGAUAGAGCGACGGAAUCCGUAAUUGGGUUUUUCGGGAAGGGGAGCCUGUAAAAAGGCCUUCGUUCUGGGAUGAGCCUGCGUCCCAUCAGCUAGUUGGUGAGGUAAAAGCUUACCAAGGCAAUGACGGGUAGCUGGUCUGAGAGGACGAUCAGCCACACUGGAACUGAAACACGGUCCAGACUCCUACGGGAGGCAGCAGUGGGGAAUCUUGCGCAAUGGACGAAAGUCUGACGCAGCAACGCCGCGUGAGUGAAGAAGGCCUUCGGGUUGUAAAGCUCUGUCGAGUGGGACGAAAAUGCUUGGAGUUCACAGCUCCAGGAACUGACGGUACCACUAAAGGAAGCACCGGCUAACUCCGUG
This 502-nucleotide ribosomal RNA is filed under the name uncultured bacterium. RNAcentral describes it as "partial 16S ribosomal RNA". It matches the Rfam family "Bacterial small subunit ribosomal RNA", at positions 29 to 507 of the family's 1533-position model. The record is from RNAcentral.